This 194-nucleotide non-coding RNA is filed under the name Thioclava pacifica. The record is from RNAcentral. Lineage: Bacteria; Pseudomonadati; Pseudomonadota; Alphaproteobacteria; Rhodobacterales; Paracoccaceae. RNAcentral also lists the same sequence under 1 other name.
GCACAUCGGCCCCACUUCGGUUCCGCGAGAGCGGAUGAAAAGGGAACCCGGUGCGAUGCACGCAUCCAUUCCGGGGCUGCCCCCGCAACUGUGAGCGGCGAGCGAAGGCUGACUGAGCCACUGGGAGAUCCCGGGAAGGCCAGCCCGAGCUGAGACCCGCGAGCCAGGAGACCUGCCGAGGCGCUCAUCCUUUC